RNAcentral lists this ribosomal RNA (253 nucleotides) under uncultured bacterium. Its description in RNAcentral is "partial 16S ribosomal RNA". It matches the Rfam family "Bacterial small subunit ribosomal RNA", at positions 524 to 776 of the family's 1533-position model. The record is from RNAcentral.
UACAGAGGUCUCAAGCGUUGUUCGGAUUCAUUGGGCGUAAAGGGCGCGUAGGUGGUGAUGCAAGUCUGGUGUGAAAUCUCGGAGCUUAACUCCGAAAUUGCACCGGAUACUGCGUUGCUCGAGGACUGUAGAGGAGAUCGGAAUUCACGGUGUAGCAGUGAAAUGCGUAGAGAUCAUGAGGAAGACCAGUGGCGAAGGCGGGUCUCUGGACAGUUCCUGACGCUGAGACACGAAGGCCAGGGGAGCAAACAGG